AAUUCCACGUGUAGCGGUGAAAUGCGUAGAGAUGUGGAGGAACACCAGUGGCGAAGGCGGCUUUUUGGUCUGUAACUGACGCUGAGGCGCGAAAGCGUGGGGAGCAAACAGGAUUAGAUACCCUGGUAGUCCACGCCGUAAACGAUGACUGCUUAGUGUUAGAGGGUUUCCGCCCUUUAUUGCUGCAGCUAACGCAUUAAUCACUCCGCCUGGGGAGUACGGUCGCAAGACUGAAACUCAAAGGAAUUGACGGGGGCCCGCACAAGCGGUGGAGCAUGUGGUUUAAUUCAAAGCAACGCAAAGAACCUUACCAGGUCUUGACAUCCUCUGACUUCUCUAAAGAUAGAUCGUUCCCCUUCGAACUACAGAGUGACAGGUGGUGCAUGGUUGUCGUCAUCUCGUGUCGUGAGAUGUU
This 415-nucleotide ribosomal RNA is filed under the name Priestia flexa. RNAcentral's name for it is "bacterial SSU rRNA". It matches the Rfam family "Bacterial small subunit ribosomal RNA", at positions 665 to 1076 of the family's 1533-position model. The record is from RNAcentral. Lineage: Bacteria; Bacillati; Bacillota; Bacilli; Caryophanales; Bacillaceae.